UACGUAGGAGGCAAGCGUUGUCCGGAAUUACCGGGCGUAAAGCGCGUGUAGGUGGUGGGACAAGUCUGCUGUGAAAGCGCCUGGCUUAACCGGGCGAGGUCGGCGGAAACUGUCCGACUCGAGGACGGUAGAGGGGGGUGGAAUUCCCGGUGUAGUGGUGAAAUGCGUAGAGAUCGGGAGGAACACCUGUGGCGAAGGCGGCCCCCUGGGCCGGCCCUGACACUGAGACGCGAAGGCGUGGGGAGCGAACGGG
This 253-nucleotide ribosomal RNA is filed under the name uncultured bacterium. RNAcentral describes it as "partial 16S ribosomal RNA". It matches the Rfam family "Bacterial small subunit ribosomal RNA", at positions 524 to 776 of the family's 1533-position model. The record is from RNAcentral.